AGGACUAACGCUGGCGGCGUGCCUAACACAUGCAAGUCGAACGGGGUAGCAAUACCCAGUGGCAGACGGGUGAGUAACACGUGGUCAACCUACCUCUAUGUGGGGGAUAACUAGCCGAAAGGUUAGCUAAUACCGCAUACGAUCGCUUUGGGGCAUCCCUAGGCGAUGAAAGGAGCAAUCCGCAUAGAGAGGGGACUGCGUCCCAUUAGUUAGUUGGUGGGGUAACGGCCUACCAAGACUCCGAUGGGUAGCUGGCUUGAGAGAGCGACCAGCCACACUGGAACUGAGACACGGUCCAGACUCCUAUGGGAGGCAGCAGUGAGGAAUUUUCCGCAAUGGGCGAAAGCCUGACGGAGCGACGCCGCGUGUGGGAAGAAGGCCUUCGGGUCGUAAACCACUGUCGAAGGGACGAUAAUGACGGUACCCUUGGAGGAAGCCCCGGCUAACUACGUGCCAGCAGCCGC
RNAcentral lists this ribosomal RNA (464 nucleotides) under uncultured bacterium. Its description in RNAcentral is "SSU rRNA". It matches the Rfam family "Bacterial small subunit ribosomal RNA", at positions 26 to 518 of the family's 1533-position model. The record is from RNAcentral.